RNAcentral lists this ribosomal RNA (468 nucleotides) under uncultured bacterium. RNAcentral's name for it is "partial 16S ribosomal RNA". It matches the Rfam family "Bacterial small subunit ribosomal RNA", at positions 28 to 507 of the family's 1533-position model. The record is from RNAcentral.
GACGAACGCUGGCGGCGUGCUUAACACAUGCAAGUCGAACGGAAAGGCCCUGCUUUUGUUGUGUGCUCGAGUGGCGAACGGGUGAGUAACACGUGAGUAACCUGCCCUUGACUUUGGGAUAACUUCAGGAAACUGGGGCUAAUACCGUAUAGGAGCUCCUGCUGCAUUGUGGGGGUUGGAAAGUUUCGGCGGUUGGGGAUGGACUCGCGGCUUAUCAGCUUGUUGGUGGGGUAGUGGCUUACCAAGGCUUUGACGGGUAGCCGGCCUGAGAGGGUGACCGGCCACAUUGGGACUGAGGUACGGCCCAGACUCCUACGGGAGGCAGUAGUGGGGAAUAUUGCACCAUGGGCGGAAGCCUGAUGCAGCAACGCAGCGUGCGGGAUGACGGCCUUCGGGUUGUAAACCGCUUUCGCAUGUGACGAAGCGUGAGUGACGGUAAUGGGUAAAGAAGCACCGGCUAACUACGUG